RNAcentral lists this ribosomal RNA (301 nucleotides) under uncultured bacterium. RNAcentral describes it as "partial 16S ribosomal RNA". It matches the Rfam family "Bacterial small subunit ribosomal RNA", at positions 509 to 807 of the family's 1533-position model. The record is from RNAcentral.
CAGUAGCCACGGGAAAACGUAGGGUGCAAGCGUUAAUCGGAAUUACUGGGCGUAAAGCGUGCGCAGGCGGCUUCUUAAGUCGGAUGUGAAAUCCCUGAGCUUAACUUAGGAAUUGCAUUCGAUACUGGGAAGCUAGAGUAUGGGAGAGGAUGGUAGAAUUCCAGGUGUAGCGGUGAAAUGCGUAGAGAUCUGGAGGAAUACCGAUGGCGAAGGCAGCCAUCUGGCCUAAUACUGACGCUGAGGUACGAAAGCAUGGGGAGCAAACAGGAUUAGAUACCCGGGUAGUCCCUGUCUCUUAUAC